AUUGAACGCUGGCGGCAGGCCUAACACAUGCAAGUCGAGCGCGAAAGGCCUUCGGGCUGAGUAGAGCGGCGGACGGGUGAGUAACGCGUAGGAAUCUACCUGGUAGUGGGGGACAACUUGGGGAAACCCAAGCUAAUACCGCAUACGCCCUACGGGGGAAAGCGGGGGACCUUCGGGCCUCGCGCUAUCAGAUGAGCCUGCGUAGGAUUAGCUUGUUGGUGAGGUAAAGGCUCACCAAGGCGACGAUCCUUAGCUGGUCUGAGAGGAUGAUCAGCCACACUGGAACUGAGACACGGUCCAGACUCCUACGGGAGGCAGCAGUGGGGAAUAUUGCGCAAUGGGCGAAAGCCUGACGCAGCCAUGCCGCGUGUGGAAGAAGGCCUUCGGGUUGUAAAGCACUUUCAAUUGGGAAGAAAGG
Molecule: ribosomal RNA, 418 nt
Filed under: uncultured bacterium
Lineage: Bacteria
Description: bacterial SSU rRNA
Rfam family: Bacterial small subunit ribosomal RNA
Source: RNAcentral